AGCUAAAUAGUUUAAAAUUUAAAAACAUUAAUUUUGUAAAUUAAAAUUAUAUUAAAUUC
This 59-nucleotide transfer RNA is filed under the name Apis mellifera carpatica. RNAcentral's name for it is "tRNA-Thr". The record is from RNAcentral. Lineage: Eukaryota; Metazoa; Arthropoda; Insecta; Hymenoptera; Apidae.